RNAcentral lists this ribosomal RNA (450 nucleotides) under uncultured Glomeromycotina. RNAcentral's name for it is "SSU rRNA". It matches the Rfam family "Eukaryotic small subunit ribosomal RNA", at positions 569 to 1021 of the family's 1831-position model. Lineage: Eukaryota; Fungi; Glomeromycota. The record is from RNAcentral.
AGCAGCCGCGGUAAUUCCAGCUCCAAUAGCGUAUAUUAAAGUUGUUGCAGUUAAAAAGCUCGUAGUUGAAUUUCGGGAUCAGUACGCUGGUCGUGCCUUUGGUAUGUACUGGUGUCACUGAUUCCUCCCUUCUGAAGAACCGUUAUGCCAUUUAUUUUGGUGUGGCGGGAAAUCAGGACUGUUACUUUGAAAAAAUUAGAGUGUUUAAAGCAGGCUCGCGCUUGAAUACAUUAGCAUGGAAUAAUGAAAUAGGACGUUUGAUCUUAUUUUGUUGGUUUCUAGGAUCGACGUAAUGAUUAAUAGGGAUAGUUGGGGGGCAUUAGUAUUCAAUUGUCAGAGGUGAAAUUCUUGGAUUUAUUGAAGACUAACUACUGCGAAAGCAUUUGCCAAGGAUGUUUUCAUUAAUCAAGAACGAAAGUUAGGGGAUCGAAGACGAUCAGAUACCGUCGU